Molecule: ribosomal RNA, 305 nt
Filed under: uncultured bacterium
Lineage: Bacteria
Description: bacterial SSU rRNA
Rfam family: Bacterial small subunit ribosomal RNA
Source: RNAcentral
UAUACCCUACGGGGGGCAGCAGUGAGGAAUAUUGGUCAAUGGACGCAAGUCUGAACCAGCCAAGUAGCGUGCAGGAUGACGGCCCUCCGGGUUGUAAACUGCUUUUAGUUGGGAAUAAAAGGGGGCUCGUGAGCCCCGUAUUGUAUGUACCAUCAGAAAAAGGACCGGCUAAUUCCGUGCCAGCAGCCGCGGUAAUACGGAAGGUCCGGGCGUUAUCCGGAUUUACUGGGUGUAAAGGGAGCGUAGACGGAAUUGCAAGUCUGAUGUGAAAAUCCGGGGCCCAACCCCGGAACUGCAUUGGAAAC